Molecule: ribosomal RNA, 534 nt
Filed under: uncultured bacterium
Lineage: Bacteria
Description: bacterial SSU rRNA
Rfam family: Bacterial small subunit ribosomal RNA
Source: RNAcentral
GUGGCGAGUGGCGGACGGGUGAGGAAUACGUCGGAAUCUGCCUAUUUGUGGGGGAUAACGUAGGGAAACUUACGCUAAUACCGCAUACGACCUACGGGUGAAAGCGGAGGACCUUCGGGCUUCGCGCAGAUAGAUGAGCCGACGUCGGAUUAGCUAGUUGGCGGGGUAAAGGCCCACCAAGGCGACGAUCCGUAGCUGGUCUGAGAGGAUGAUCAGCCACACUGGAACUGAGACACGGUCCAGACUCCUACGGGAGGCAGCAGUAGGGAAUCUUCCGCAAUGGACGAAAGUCUGACGGAGCAAUGCCGCGUGAGUGACGAAGGUUUUCGGAUCGUAAAACUCUGUUGUAAGGGAAGAACAAGUACCAAGUAACUACUGGUACCUUGACGGUACCUUACCAGAAAGCCACGGCUAACUACGUGCCAGCAGCCGCGGUAAUACGUAGGUGGCAAGCGUUGUCCGGAAUUAUUGGGCGUAAAGCGCGCGCAGGCGGUCCCUUAAGUCUGAUGUGAAAGCCCACGGCUCAACCGUGGA